RNAcentral lists this ribosomal RNA (292 nucleotides) under uncultured bacterium. RNAcentral describes it as "partial 16S ribosomal RNA". It matches the Rfam family "Bacterial small subunit ribosomal RNA", at positions 505 to 796 of the family's 1533-position model. The record is from RNAcentral.
GUGCCAGCCGCCGCGGUAAGACGAAGGUGGCGAGCGUUACUCGGAAUUACUAGGCGUAAAGCGUGGGCAGGUGGUUUGGUAAGUCUGUUGUGAAAGCUCCCGGCUUAACCGGGAGAGGCCAAUGGAUACUGCCGAACUUGAAUGUGGGAGAGGUGACUGGAAUUCCCGGUGUAGCGGUGAAAUGCGUAGAGAUCGGGAGGAACACCAAUGGCGAAAGCAGGUCACUGGACCACUAUUGACACUCAUCCACGAAAGCUGGGGGAUCAAACAGGAUUAGAAACCCGGGUAGUCC